GGUAGGCUUAACACAUGCAAGUCGUGCGAGAAAGUAUCUUCGGAUAUGAGUAGAGCGGCGGACGGGUGAGUAACGCGUAGGAAUCUACCUAGUAGAAGGGGAUAGCCCGGGGAAACCCGGAUUAAUACCGUAUACCUCCUUCGGGAGAAAGAAGGCCUCUCUUUGAAGCUUUCGCUAUUAGAUGAGCCUGCGUAAGAUUAGCUUGUUGGUGAGGUAAAGGCUCACCAAGGCAACGAUCUUUAGCUGGUCUGAGAGGACGAUCAGCCACAUUGGGACUGAGACACGGCCCAGACUCCUACGGGAGGCAGCAGUGGGGAAUAUUGGACAAUGGGCGCAAGCCUGAUCCAGCCAUACCGCGUGUGUGAAGAAGGCCUUAGGGUUGUAAAGCACUUUAAGCAGGGAGAAAAAGUUAUAAGUUAAUACCUUAUAACCGUGAUGUUACCUGCAGAAUAAGCACCGGCUAAUUCCGUGCCAGCAGCCGCGGUAAUACGGAAGGUGCAAGCGUUAAUCGGAAUUACUGGGCGUAAAGCGCGCGUAGGUGGUUUGUUAAGUUGGAUGUGAAAGCCCUGGGCUCAACCUAGGAACUGCAUCCAAAACUAACUCACUAGAGUACGAUAGAGGGAGGUAGAAUUCAUAGUGUAGCGGUGGAAUGCGUAGAUAUUAUGAAGAAUACCAGUGGCGAAGGCGGCCUCCUGGAUCUGUACUGACACUGAGGUGCGAAAGCGUGGGUAGCGAACAGGAUUAGAUACCCUGGUAGUCCACGCCGUAAACGAUGACAACUAGCUGUUGGAAGACAAUGUCUUUCAGUGGCGCAGCUAACGUUUUAAGUUGUCCGCCUGGGGAGUACG
Molecule: ribosomal RNA, 848 nt
Filed under: uncultured Gammaproteobacteria bacterium
Lineage: Bacteria; Pseudomonadati; Pseudomonadota; Gammaproteobacteria
Description: bacterial SSU rRNA
Rfam family: Bacterial small subunit ribosomal RNA
Source: RNAcentral